RNAcentral lists this non-coding RNA (3362 nucleotides) under synthetic construct. The record is from RNAcentral.
GCGGACGUACAACCUGGAUGCUAUGGCUCAGCACCAAGAUGGUGCCAUGGCCGUGUUGGAUGAUGUUGCUAUGUGUACAGCGGUCCUGGCUGCUAUUGUUCCAGAAGUAUGUAAUCGGGUAGCGAUGGCCACCAUAAGGGAGGGUCAGCAUCCACUUGUGGAGGUGUUUGCGGACAAUGUUCCCAUGCUACAGAGAGGGCAAGAAUUGAAUGUUGAGCAGGAUAUUAUGCUCAUGGGGCUGUUUAUGGCAUAUACUCACAAGCUUGGUUCAAUAUUUAAUCUGAGUACGCGGCUCUGUUUGGGUGCCUACUCCCACGAGACAAAAAUAGGAACCUGUUGGCUCUAGCUCAUCAUGCCAGAAGAAAUAGAACUUAGGUCUCUGGGAAGAAACAGUAGUGGUGAGGUUGUGCUAAAUGGACCCUACCACUGUUCUGAAAAUUCCAGAUGUCCAGACUGUGAAAAGUUUUCAUAUCUGGCAUACUCCUUUCUUAUAUUCUUGACAGUACUGCUAUUUUCAGUGUAUCUACUUUUUGUGUGUCCAUUUGAAAUAAAACAUUUGUAUGGUACUUGGCAGAGUGGAGACUCUAUAUUGGCUGGAGAAGUGGGGCCCAUAUUGAACAGAACUGUUACUUCAAAAUCUUGUUGGAGGGGGCCCAGAUGUGAAAUGUUUAUUCCAAACAUCCCUAUUAUCCUGCCAAAUGAUACAAUUUAUCCAAAUUUUACAAAUUACAAUGGAAGCUAUGCUGAUUAUAGGACUACUCUUCAAGAAAUAAUUCAUACCAUCUUAUAUGAUCAAUGUAACGUCACUGUUUUGUUGCACACAUCCUUUGGGAAGACAUAUGGUAUGGAUGAUGUAUUUUUUAAAACAGUCAUGUAUAAACUCAUCACUUCAUUUUUGAUGGAGGGAAGUACCAUGUGUGAUCUGAAGACGGCAGCCAGGGAUGUUUAUGUCUUACACUCACUAUCCCACCUCCAUGAUGUUGGAAAGGGCUGUAAACUAAGACUUGAUAACAUUUAUGAUGAAUCUUCAGGGAGCCACUACAGUCGAGAGUGUGUAAAGCAGUUUGAUUGUAUGUUGUGUAUUUACCCCAAGUCUAUAAGUGUUUCCUUUAAUUAAAAACUACCACCCACUAUAUUUAAAAUUUGUACAAAUAAAAUGUGGUACGUGUCAGAAAAUUACACUAUGACAGAAACAACUACCAUCUCUGGACAAACAUCAUCUGGAUUUUCAUUUCAUGUGCCUAUCAUGGUCAUAGUGUUGAUUUUGCUGAUUAUUGGACUGUUGCUGUAUGGAGCAUAUAAGUGCUUUUUCUGGGUUAUGUACAAGCGGGCACAGAUAAUGGGGUUGCCAGCCCAAGCACUCUUGUCACGUGUAAAGGUGUAAAAAUCAUUGUACAAACUUGACUAAAUAAAGAUUAUUUUAUUGAAAAAGAGAUGUAUGAUAUCUUGUUUGUUGUCAUCACGUAACAGGUCAUAACACACGCAAUUAGAACAUCAUCAGACAUUGUAUGUGUUUUGGAUUGGAAGGUUAUGGUUUUGUUCUUGUGGUAUAUACAUUUGGUAUUUUUUAUCUGUUCAAUCAGAUAGGAGAUUGGGUCACUAGACAGCAGGACAGUGUUAGAUACCACGGUUUGGCUGGCACAGAGCAAUCCCUGGUUCAAUGAAGAGAUAAAGUUUUGGAAGGCCAGUGUCUUGUCUCCACUCAACAUAUAAAUAGGCCAUUGCAUUCCAGUCUUGUCUCUGUAGGAGGCAAACAGGGUUGGUAGUUUAAUGUUGUGGGAAAUAAAAGUUGCUAUGGCUACAGCUGAGUCUUGAUUGCUAUUUCCCUCUAUUAUACACCUGAUUUCUUGAAUCCAGGGGUGUUGAAACAAUAUUCCCUCCAACAGAGCAGUGGCACAUGAGGCUAUGUUGUGAGCAGCAGUUCCAGUGAGGUUGUUCAGGAAGAAAUGUUCCAACCCUAAGAUAAUACACUUUUUAGUGUGUUUACAGUGACUCAUGGCAACUAUACCAGUUCCAGAGGCGUGGACGUUGUUUCCAUAGGCGGGGUCAAUAUACACAAAAAGUGUAUUUUCUGUAGUUGGGGCCCCCUGGCCCGCAGUGUCACACCUAUAAAAGUCUAGCCGGGUCAGACUGGACUCGUGUAUCAUACUGUUCCCAGAGACUUCCGUGUGUGAUUGCAUAUUGCCCAUUAAUUCUGUGGCAAAUGAUCCCUCUAGCAGUAAAUUGGUGGUACACUUUAUAUUAUCAUUGAUGGUGAUAAAUUCUGGAACAUACAGGCGAUAGCAAGGGCAGGCAGUGAUUGCGCUCUGUUUGUUGAAGUCUUCCAUAUGUUCGCUACAGACAUAGCUGACAACGUUCACCAUCUUCUCAUUGGCAUCUUUGAGGUUAUACAAAAAACUUGUUGUCUUCUCUCCUGAAUUUACAGAGGAGAUAAAAAAGAUCUUGGCAUCCUUCUGUAACAUAAACCCCAAGAUUGCUGGAAGUGCUUCCUUCUUUAUGAAAUUUGCUUCAUCAACAAACAGUAGAUUAAAUGUCUGCCCCCGGAUGCUCUGUGAAUAAAUCAAAGAAUCUGGUUACUGAUCAGGAUCUCCUGGAUGUGGUGAAUUUUUUUAACAGACCAUUACAUGCUCUCAUUGCUGAGGUGUCAAAAACCACUUCUGAUUUGGAACUUGUCAGGUCAACCACCCAAGGUAUUGAAAAUAUCUGUCUCCUGCUAGACUUGGUAGGAACAGAAUGUAUAAAAGAUGCAAGCGCGGCCAAGACAAGUGUAUGAUGCGGCCUCUUUCUAACCCUUUAACAGAGGCCUAUAACGUGCAAAAUUUGUACCAGUGUCUAAAUUGUGAUGAUUAUCACUUGUGUAAUGGUUCUCUCAACUGUGAUCCUCUGGUGGAUCGAGAGGGAAUUGUGUGCACAGUCACUGGAAAGUAUAUCCAGUGUAAUGUCAGGGAAUCACCCAUGUGUGGGGCAGCGUGUCUGGACGUGGACAUUCACCCAGAGGACAAUACAGACUGCAUUCUGCGGGCACUGUUUGGUGACAUUGUAGAUAUUAUUAAUAAAUUGGAUGAUAUUGCUGAAAUUAAAGAUAAGAUCCUCGCUGGAGACUCCCUAAAUGAGCACAUCAAGAAGAAAAUUGAGUGUACCUUUCCAAUGUGCGCCAACAUCAUUAAUUGUAAUAGCCAAGGCUAUUCCAUACUUUGUAGCAUGUUUGUCCAUAUUAUUAUGUCAAUCUAUGCCAACAAAACCAUAUAUGGCCACAUGCUAUUUAAAUGCACCAGAAAUAAAAAGUAUGACACCAUUGCCAAGAAAAUUAGAGAGAAAUGGAUGUAUUUAGAAUAAAUAAAAAAAGUGUUCCUUUACAACAA